UACAGAGGAUGCAAGCGUUAUCCGGAAUGAUUGGGCGUAAAGCGUCUGUAGGUGGCUUUUUAAGUCCGCCGUCAAAUCCCAGGGCUCAACUCUGGACAGGCGGUGGAAACUACCAAGCUGGAGUACGGUAGGGGCAGAGGGAAUUUCCGGUGGAGCGGUGAAAUGCGUAGAUAUCGUCAGGAAUGCCGGUGGUGAAGACGGGUGACUGGGCUGGUUCUGACACUGAGGCACGAAAGCGUGGGGAGCGAACGGG
RNAcentral lists this ribosomal RNA (253 nucleotides) under uncultured bacterium. RNAcentral's name for it is "partial 16S ribosomal RNA". It matches the Rfam family "Bacterial small subunit ribosomal RNA", at positions 524 to 776 of the family's 1533-position model. The record is from RNAcentral.